This is an RNA transcript of Capra hircus (goat), 3864 nucleotides long. It is a transcript of the gene named solute carrier family 34 member 3, with no coding region annotated. The record is from RefSeq and is a predicted model, not a curated record. NCBI's taxonomy places the organism in Eukaryota, Metazoa, Chordata, Mammalia, Artiodactyla, Bovidae. The transcript has 4 exons.
UGGGCGGGGCAGCCUCAGGACAACCUGACCUGCGGCCUCAGCUUGGCCCGUGGGCUGGACAGGAAGGCCAGUUGGGGGCAAGUUAGACAGCAGGAGGAUGCUGUGCGUGGAACAGGGUGCUGAGCCCAAGACAAGCCUCCCGGCGGAGGGCCCGGUUGGCAGCACUGUGGCGGGUGGGACCAGCGCGGGCAGGUUUCCGGGGGUGGGAGCCCGGGGCCCAGCACCUGGCCCGGCCCGCCCGCGAGUCGGCGCCCUGCCUCUGUGUCUUUCUGGUUUCCCACAGAUCACCCUGGUCCCUGGCGUCUGCCAUGUGCUGUUCCCCACUGUCCUGCCUCUGGGGCCCGGGCUCUGUAGAGGUGGGCAGACAGUGCUGGGCCAGACCAGUCUCCCAGCUGUCUGGGCAGCACGGCACGCCUGCGUGGGAGGCCGGGGGUGCUGAGCCCCUCGGGCCUGGGGUGAGGCAGGAAAGCGCGUGUGCAGGGGGAGCGUCCGGGCCAGCACCAGGUGCCUUGAUGUUUCCAGGAUGGGGCAGACAGCUGGAGGAGGCGAGCUGGCCUCGCAGGAUGGACGGGUCCCGGUGACAGCCCUCCCCUGACCCCUGGUGACUGGCCGUGUGGCAGGACCGGUCUCUGGGUGUGGGUAGACAUGUCAUUGGCCUGACUACAUGGGGACUCAGACAUGCCAGGUUCCCGGCCCCUGCCCCUGGCUGGCCCCCACAGGAAGAUGACCCCACCCGGGGCGGCCACAGAAACCCAUCCAACCAGCCCAGGAGGCCAAGGACUGCCAGGGUGGUGGGAGUGAGGAGGGGCCUUUUGGCCCUUGGCCUCCUCCAGUGGGGGAGGUUCUGGGGUCUGACCCCCUCCCAGCCCUCCCUGACACACCCCAUCCUGCUAUGCCACCGGGCUGGCCCUGAGGCCUUGGCCAGGUGUAUGCCAGGGGGAGGUGGCCUCUGAAGGGGCGCCAGGGGCUUUCCACAGCACUCUGCGCCUGGGAGUUUCUGGGUGGUCUCUCCACGCCUGUGCUUGCGGGCCUCCUCGUGGGGCUAGCUUGUGAUGGAAACGCCGAGGGGACAAAAAGGCACUGUGACAGUUCAGCACGGACACACACGCAGUGGCUGAGCCACGGAGUGCGGGGCCCCUCGGGGCUCUGAGCUUGUGGGGGUCCUGGCAGGUUUCCUGGAGGAACCGAGUGCUGAAGAGCCCGCAGCACCCAGGUGGGAGCCAGAAAGCUUUCCUGUGGUGAGUGGCGGUCGAGUGUGAGUGGGCACAGGGCCGGGUCUCGAGGCAGGAAGCUGGGCAGUGCUGCGCAGCGUCGGGGGGUGGAGCGGGGGCGUCUCCAGCCCAGUUGGCGGUGUUGGUGGAUCCAGUUGCAAGCGCUUUGAGGCUGAAAGGGGAGCCCACACAGCCCGCAGCCACCACCUGCCUCCUCGCUGACUGGUCCAUGUUCAGCCAGUAACGUGAGCCCCAGGAAGGGAGCCCCAGGCGCCCCAGGUCCCCCCAGCCUGCCCCUGGCCACCCUCGUUCUGGACACAGCCACCUGGCAGAGCAGAUGCAGGAUGCUGCUGCCAGAGGGGCACUCAGCCUCUGAAGAGGCCACGGCCACUGGGCCCCAGCGCGGUGACUGCGUCGUCUGCUACUCGGCCUAUGACCUCGCCGGGCACCUGCCCCGCCGCCUCUAUUGCGGCCACACUGUCUGCCAGGCGUGCGUGCGGCGGCUGGCUGCACCGGCCCCCGAGCAGCGCUGGGUCCCCUGCCCGCAGUGCCGCCAGAGCACGCCCGUGCCCCGUGGAGGGGUGGCCAUGCUGGACCUCGACCUGGCCGCCUUCCUGGCCAUCAGGGCCGGGCGGGGGCCGUCUCGCCUGGAGCCGCAUCCUCCCGGGCCCUGCAAGGGCAGCCCCACUGUUACUCAGCAACCGGCCAGGCUCCUCCCCGCGUCGGACCCCCUGCCCCGCUUCCCCCAGCCCGGAGGCUGCUGCCUGGCCUGCCACAGCCUCUGCUGGGAUCCCCCAGGCAGCCCCCAGCUCUGAGCGUUGCUCGGCGCCGCCCCUCGGAAGGGAGCCUUGGCCUGCAGCACGAGGCACAGGCUUCCCGAAACAGCCCCGUGUUCUUGCCCUGGGGCCACCGUCUAAGGUGGUGAGCUGUGCCCACAGCGCUGUGCACCCCUGCAGGAGCUGGAAUCCAGGCCAGGCCCCAGGCCCCAUGGGGGUCUGUGUGCCCUGCGGGGGCGCUGCUGUCAGAGUCCCACGAGCCCAGGGCAGGUCUGGACGCAGCUCAGAGGCAGCUCCUGCAACUGUCUGGGGGCCAGUGUCCGGGCCGGGGCUGCAGGCUGGGGGGCAGGCCCAGCAGAGGCCGCUCCUGGCCUGCUGGAGGAGGGCCCCUCCUUACAGAGCCCUGAGCCCAGCUGGAGGAUCUCUGCCUUCACCCUCUGUGAAGCCCACCCGCUCACUGCCCCCAGCUCCCGGUGUGUCAGGUGCUGUUUGGGGAGGACAAGCACGGUGGCUGCUGCUGCUGUAGGUGUGCAAGGUACUCCAGGCCAGGGGCUGACUGCUGAGGGGCGCUCAUGACAGCCGGCCCCUCCCCGGGCCUGUGGCAUCCUCUGCCUCCUGGGGGUGGCCACACAGACCCUCAGAGGGACCAGAGACAGACCCCACCGGUCUGACUGCCACACGCCCACCUCCCCCCCGCGGGAAGGGGCUGUCGCUCAGGACCCCUGGAAGGGCCGAGGGGCCCGCCCCAGCCGUGGGGGGCAGGAUGGGAGGGACAGGCCAGAGAAUGUGCUGAGAGGACAGUCGGAAAGUUCCUCCUUCCUGGGGACAAAGUCCCCCAGCCCCGGUGGUUGGUGGACAGCAGGCAGGGGCUUGAGGCAGCAGCCGGCUGGGGCGGGGCUGGCCCCCGUGGGGCUGCUCACCCUCCCCACAUACCCGGAGUGAGAAGGGGCCCGACUCCAGAAAGAGGCACCUGUGAAUGAGGGGGCCGGACCAGCUGGGGAGAGAACCGGGUGGGCUCGGGUGCUGGGCUGAGCAGCAGUGUGGCCUGGAGUGGGAGAAGGCAGGGACGCCUGUGACUGUGACCGUUGCUGGCCCCCUCUGGGGCUGCGCCGCUGGGUGGGAGCUCUGCCAGGCCCAGCCCUGAACUGGGUGACCUCGGGGUUGCUGCCCUCCCCGCCCACCUGGUGCAAAGAGCUUCCUUCUGGCCACGUGACCGUGGCAGGACAGGCACGAGAAGGCCUGCAGAGAUGAGAGCAGCCUUCCCGGGGGUCCCAGGACGGCCGGCCAGAGUGCCAGCAUCCUGCCUGCCACAGGCGGCCAGCAUGCAGCAUCCUGCCAUGUCCCUCAGGCGUCCCCGUGCGGGAGCCCAGCUCUGGGGGCCGGCUGCCCAGCCCUGCUCACCCCUGGAUGACGGUGGGGCCUGGAAGAGGCCGGCACCCAGGGCUGCGAUGGUACCCCUGGGGGGCCCUUGGCUCCUGGGUAAACAUUAAUGGGCUCGGUACACGGCAGGUCAUGUGCGCGCCCAGCCGAUCUUUGACCUGCAGCUGCUCUCGGCCCGUGUCUCCUCCCCGAAGGUGCCCCUCACUGCCCACACAGUGGUCUCUGUGACACCCAAUCGGAGACGCCCCAGAGUCCCGGCCACUUCAGGCUACGCCAUAGCACCCUGGAUCACCCACCAGCCCUUCCUCCAGCCAGAAUCAGCAGCGAGCCAGGGCUUCCUCCACUCUGUCCCCCCAGACCGGACUGAGCUCACCUAACAGCCACCUGGGGUCACUGUAGCCAUCCCCCUGCAGAAGGAGGAAGGGGGAGACCGACCGCUGAGGCCAACAGCAGAUCUGGGUUUGGGCCUGGGUCUGUUCCUGCUUGAAAUCCAUGCC